This 253-nucleotide ribosomal RNA is filed under the name uncultured bacterium. RNAcentral's name for it is "partial 16S ribosomal RNA". It matches the Rfam family "Bacterial small subunit ribosomal RNA", at positions 524 to 776 of the family's 1533-position model. The record is from RNAcentral.
UACGGAGGAGGCAAGCGUUAUCCGGAGUUAUUGGGCGUAAAGCGUCCGCAGGUGGCACCUCAAGUCUGCUGUCAAAGACCGGGGCUUAACCCCAGAAAGGCAGUGGAAACUGAAGUGCUAGAGUGCAGUAGGGGUAGAGGGAAUUCCCGGUGUAGCGGUGAAAUGCGUAGAGAUCGGGAAGAACAUCGGUGGCGAAAGCGCUCUGCUGGACUGCAACUGACACUCAGGGACGAAAGCUAGGGGAGCGAAUGGG